GGGGUUGUGGUGAAAUGGCAGACACAGCUGACUUAAAAUCAGCCGCCGAAAGGCAUGUGGGUUCGAGUCCCACCAACCUAC
RNAcentral lists this transfer RNA (81 nucleotides) under Chloroflexi bacterium OLB13. RNAcentral describes it as "tRNA-Leu". It matches the Rfam family "tRNA". From Rfam's summary of the family: Transfer RNA (tRNA) molecules are approximately 80 nucleotides in length. Their secondary structure includes four short double-helical elements and three loops (D, anti-codon, and T loops). Further hydrogen bonds mediate the characteristic L-shaped molecular structure. tRNAs have two regions of fundamental functional importance: the anti-codon, which is responsible for specific mRNA codon recognition, and the 3' end, to which the tRNAs corresponding amino acid is attached (by aminoacyl-tRNA synthetases). tRNAs cope with the degeneracy of the genetic code in two manners: having more than one tRNA (with a specific anti-codon) for a particular amino acid; and 'wobble' base-pairing, i.e. permitting non-standard base-pairing at the 3rd anti-codon position. The record is from RNAcentral. Lineage: Bacteria; Bacillati; Chloroflexota.